This 286-nucleotide ribosomal RNA is filed under the name uncultured prokaryote. RNAcentral describes it as "partial 16S ribosomal RNA". It matches the Rfam family "Bacterial small subunit ribosomal RNA", at positions 524 to 819 of the family's 1533-position model. The record is from RNAcentral.
UACGUAGGGAGCAAGCGUUAUCCGGAUUUACUGGGUGUAAAGGGUGCGUAGGCGGCUUGGUAAGUCUAAAGUGAAAUUUCGGGGCUCAACCCCGGAGCUGCUUUGGAAACUGCCGAGCUAGAGUGUGGGAGAGGAAAGCGGAACUUUGAGUGUAGCGGUGAAAUGCGUAGAGAUUCAAAGGAACACCAGUAGCGAAGGCGGCUUUCUGGACCAUAACUGACGCUGAGGCACGAAAGCGUGGGGAGCAAACAGGAUUAGAUACCCGGGUAGUCCCUGAGCGGGCUGG